RNAcentral lists this unclassified non-coding RNA (236 nucleotides) under uncultured fungus. Its description in RNAcentral is "partial contains 5.8S ribosomal RNA, internal transcribed spacer 2, and large subunit ribosomal RNA". The record is from RNAcentral. Lineage: Eukaryota; Fungi.
AACGCACAUUGCGCCCCCCGGCACUCCGGGGGGCACGCCUGUUCGAGCGCCAUUUCAACCCUCAAGCCACGCUUGGUGUUGGGCGGGCCCCGCGGGGGCCCGCCCGAAAGCGCUAGGCGCCGCCGCCCGACCACCCGCGUAGCAGGCUCACGCACGCGCGGGGAGGACGUCGACGGCCGCCCGCCCCUUCCAUCGAGUUUGGCCUCGGAUCAGGCGGGGAUACCCGCUGAACUUAA